Molecule: ribosomal RNA, 453 nt
Filed under: uncultured bacterium
Lineage: Bacteria
Description: bacterial SSU rRNA
Rfam family: Bacterial small subunit ribosomal RNA
Source: RNAcentral
AACGAACGCUGGCGGCAUGCCUAACACAUGCAAGUCGAACGAGACCCUUCGGGUCUAGUGGCGCACGGGUGCGUAACGCGUGGGAACCUGCCUUUAGGUUCGGAAUAACUCAGAGAAAUUUGAGCUAAUACCGGAUAAUGUCUUCGGACCAAAGAUUUAUCGCCUUUAGAUGGGCCCGCGUAAGAUUAGCUAGUUGGUGGGGUAAAGGCCUACCAAGGCGACGAUCUUUAGCUGGUCUGAGAGGAUGAUCAGCCACACUGGGACUGAGACACGGCCCAGACUCCUACGGGAGGCAGCAGUGGGGAAUAUUGGACAAUGGGCGAAAGCCUGAUCCAGCAAUGCCGCGUGAGUGAUGAAGGCCUUAGGGGUUGUAAAAGCUCUUUUACCCGUAGAUGAUAAUGACAGUAUCGGGAGAAUAAGCUCCGGCUAACUCCGUGCCAGCAGCCGCGGUAA